This 73-nucleotide transfer RNA is filed under the name Felis catus (domestic cat). It matches the Rfam family "tRNA". Rfam says of the family: Transfer RNA (tRNA) molecules are approximately 80 nucleotides in length. Their secondary structure includes four short double-helical elements and three loops (D, anti-codon, and T loops). RNAcentral also lists the same sequence under 2 other names. The record is from Rfam by way of RNAcentral. Lineage: Eukaryota; Metazoa; Chordata; Mammalia; Carnivora; Felidae.
GCCUGGGUGGCUCAGCUGGUUAAGCGUCUGACUUAGGCUCAGGUCAUGGUGAGUUCGAGCCCUGCCUCGGGCU